RNAcentral lists this ribosomal RNA (706 nucleotides) under Pseudomonas sp. AT-MI-52. RNAcentral describes it as "bacterial SSU rRNA". It matches the Rfam family "Bacterial small subunit ribosomal RNA", at positions 55 to 758 of the family's 1533-position model. The record is from RNAcentral. Lineage: Bacteria; Pseudomonadati; Pseudomonadota; Gammaproteobacteria; Pseudomonadales; Pseudomonadaceae.
AUGCAGUCGAGCGGUAGAGAGANCUUGCUUCUCUUGAGAGCGGCGGACGGGUGAGUAAUGCCUAGGAAUCUGCCUGGUAGUGGGGGAUAACGUUCGGAAACGAACGCUAAUACCGCAUACGUCCUACGGGAGAAAGCAGGGGACCUUCGGGCCUUGCGCUAUCAGAUGAGCCUAGGUCGGAUUAGCUAGUUGGUGAGGUAAUGGCUCACCAAGGCGACGAUCCGUAACUGGUCUGAGAGGAUGAUCAGUCACACUGGAACUGAGACACGGUCCAGACUCCUACGGGAGGCAGCAGUGGGGAAUAUUGGACAAUGGGCGAAAGCCUGAUCCAGCCAUGCCGCGUGUGUGAAGAAGGUCUUCGGAUUGUAAAGCACUUUAAGUUGGGAGGAAGGGCAGUUACCUAAUACGUGAUUGUUUUGACGUUACCGACAGAAUAAGCACCGGCUAACUCUGUGCCAGCAGCCGCGGUAAUACAGAGGGUGCAAGCGUUAAUCGGAAUUACUGGGCGUAAAGCGCGCGUAGGUGGUUUGUUAAGUUGGAUGUGAAAUCCCCGGGCUCAACCUGGGAACUGCAUUCAAAACUGACUGACUAGAGUAUGGUAGAGGGUGGUGGAAUUUCCUGUGUAGCGGUGAAAUGCGUAGAUAUAGGAAGGAACACCAGUGGCGAAGGCGACCACCUGGACUAAUACUGACACUGAGGUGCGAAA